Molecule: long non-coding RNA, 575 nt
Filed under: Mytilus galloprovincialis (Mediterranean mussel)
Lineage: Eukaryota; Metazoa; Mollusca; Bivalvia; Mytilida; Mytilidae
Source: RNAcentral
GUGCAAUAUAAAAUUCUACUCGGGACAAUAUUCCCCAAUAUUCAUGCAAUAACCCUAUAUUAUAACAUUACUGCAGAUCAACAUAAAAUCAGAACAUUGAAUGUUUAUAGUUCUUAUACAAUAUCAAUACACAAGGUGACAUGACAUGCCUGAUGAUAAUUAACACUUGCAAAUAUUCACUCAUCGUUCAUAUAAAAUCAUCAGCUUUGACAAUUAAACAUACUACUAUAAUGUCAAGAUCAUAUAACACUAUUUCAAUUAACCAAAUAGAUAUAUGUAAAUCCAUAUUCUACAAAUAACCAUAGCAUAUAUAUAUCAACGGUAGAUAACUCUAUAUUAUAUCAAAUGUUCUUCACUGUCUUACAUGAACACUAUAUAUUAUGCUAUUUCAAGUAUACAUAAACUCACCAGUCUGUGGAACUGAGUUUAAUAACUAACAUCGACAGUCUAACUAAUACUAACAGUAACGAUCUUCAUACUUCUACAGUAAUGGUAACAGAGGUUCACAUCAAAUAUGGUUCUGUAAACAAUGUAUGACAAUAAUAAGUAAUCUGACUUUAAUAUCUUAAAGGCAU